This 846-nucleotide non-coding RNA is filed under the name Trapezia septata. The record is from RNAcentral. Lineage: Eukaryota; Metazoa; Arthropoda; Malacostraca; Decapoda; Trapeziidae.
AUAAAGUUUGAUUCUUUCUUGAAUUUUUAUGUAUUUAUUGAAAUUGCAUGAGAAUUAUGGUAUGUAUAUGUUGUUGCUUUUAAAAGGGAAUAAGCAUAAAGUAAAAUAGAAGUAAAAUUAUCUAUGAAGAAUAAAUGCUCAGCAUAUGUUAUUAAGUAGUUUAAGAAAUUAAGAAUUAGCAUGUAAAUAUAGACCUGAUUAAAUAUUGUGCCAGCAGUCGCGGUUAAACAUUAAGGUCAAGUAAAAGUAGGAUAUUAUUUAGUUAAAUUUAAAAGAUUCGAUUAUGAGAUUAAAAUGCUUGAAAAUUUGGAGGUGAAAUUAAGAUUUUUAGAGUUAGUAAUUGAAUGAUAAUUGAAGCUAUAAAAAUUUAGGUUUAAACUAGGAUUAGAUACCCUAUUAUACUAAAAAUAAACUUUUAAAAAUUGAUUAUUAUUAGUUAUGUGCUUAAAAUUUGAAGAAUUUGGCGGUAGCUUAGUCUUGUUAGAGGAACCUGUUUUAUUAAAUCGAUAAUCCGCGUAAAAUCUUGCUUUCUUUUGUCAGGCAGCUUAUAUACCGUCAUUAACAGAUAAUUUUAUGAGAAUUAAUUGUUGGAAUUUAUAAAAUAUAAAUAAAAUUAGAUCAAGGUGUAGUCUAUAAGAAAGCUAAAAUGGGUUACAAUAAAAGUUUGUUUAAAAAACGUAUUUAUAAAGUAAGAAUUGAUAAUGAAGGAGGAUUUAAUUGUAAUUGUAAGUUAAUAUAUUACGAUGAUAUACAGCACUAAGUUAUGUACAUAUUGCCCGUCGCUUUCAUUCAAAAAUGAGAUAAGUCGUAACAUAGUAGGUUUAUUGGAAAUUGAACCUAGAUUGA